This 301-nucleotide ribosomal RNA is filed under the name uncultured bacterium. RNAcentral's name for it is "partial 16S ribosomal RNA". It matches the Rfam family "Bacterial small subunit ribosomal RNA", at positions 509 to 807 of the family's 1533-position model. The record is from RNAcentral.
CAGUAGCCGCGGUAAUACGGAGGGCGCGAGCGUUACCCGGAUUUACUGGGCGUAAAGGGCGUGUAGGCGGCCUGGGGCGUCCCAUGUGAAAGGCCACGGCUCAACCGUGGAGGAGCGUGGGAUACGCUCAGGCUAGAGGGUGGGAGAGGGUGGUGGAAUUCCCGGAGUAGCGGUGAAAUGCGCAGAUACCGGGAGGAACGCCGAUGGCGAAGGCAGCCACCUGGUCCACUUCUGACGCUGAGGCGCGAAAGCGUGGGGAGCAAACCGGAUUAGAGACCCCUGUAGUCCCUGUCUCUUAUAC